Molecule: long non-coding RNA, 778 nt
Filed under: Pan troglodytes (chimpanzee)
Lineage: Eukaryota; Metazoa; Chordata; Mammalia; Primates; Hominidae
Description: long non-coding RNA NONPTRT002864
Source: RNAcentral
GGGAACCAGCCACCAACAUCUCUUAUCUGGACUAUUGUAAAAGAAAAGUCUCCUCCUAACUGGUGUCCCUCCUUCAGCCUUUGUACCUUUUAGCCUACCGGCAACAUAGCAGCCAAAGUGAUCUUUUUUAAACAAAAGUCACUGCAAAAUUUUUCAAUUUUUUUGUAUGUUUGAAAUUUUUCAUCAUAAAAUUUGGAAAAAAUAAAACUCAGAUUACAUCACUCCUGUCAAAACCCUCCAAUCCUGUAUACUUCAUUCAGUCAGAGUAAAAUCUAAAGUCUUUACAUUAACUAGGCCCUAAAAUUAAGCUCCCUCUUACCUCUCUGACCUCAUCUCUCUUCCUCAUCUCUCACCGCUCCUUCCUUCCAGGCACGCAGGCCUCCUUCCCGUACCUUCCCAUGCAGCCAUGCUCCAUCCCCGCGGCCUCUGCGCUGACCCCUCAACAGCCAGGGGGUGCUCUUCCCCGGACUGCACAGCAUUCACCCUCACCUUCUUUCAGGCUUUGCUGAAAGGUCACUUUCUCCAUGAAGGGGUUUUCAUGUAACUUACCAACCACUAUCCUAACUCCUUCUCUAUUUUAUUUUUCCCACAGCAUUUAGCACUAUCUUCUACACUAUGAAGUUAUCAGUUCAAAGGAGACAAGUUAAAUCUACUCCAAGGUUCACCUCUUUGUUCUAAAACGCAAUUACCGUGGGCUUCUACUUUGUUGUCAACCCAGUGGACAUAUGUUCUUCCUUAAAAUGAAAACAGAUGAUUAAGCAAAACUAUAUGACUUUUU